Molecule: long non-coding RNA, 1092 nt
Filed under: Equus asinus (donkey)
Lineage: Eukaryota; Metazoa; Chordata; Mammalia; Perissodactyla; Equidae
Description: lncRNA (ENSEASG00005027909.1)
Source: RNAcentral
CGAACCCGGGCCGCCAAAGUGGAAUGUGCUGAACUUAACCACUAUGCUCCCAGGGGUGGCCUUUGGCAUCUUUUCCAUCAAGCUGUGUUUCCAGAUUGCUGGUGGCCUAGUUGGAUAUGAGCAAAGAAAGAGCACCUUUGAGAAAUGAAGAGAAGCAGAAGAGAAAAGAACAGGAAGUGUGCUUGGUCCCUUGCUUACCCUAUUGACUUGGACUUUCAUCAGACUCAAGCUAGACCCGCUCUUAGCUUGUUUCUAAGUGUUUACACAUCAUCUGAGUCUGUCAGCAAGAAAGGCAGAAACUGAAGCAACUUUUUCUGUAUUAGAGAAUUCUGCCGUUCAGCCCUGCGAGAGCCCCUUACCUGCUGCGUCUCCCAUCUCCAAGACAGAGACGGAACACCUGUUCCUCCCCACUGCGCAAGUAGUUGUGGUUGAUGCCAUGUUGCCUCUCCCUGUAGGGUAAGAAAGGGAAUAGAAUGAGAUUACUGAAGAGUCAUGGCUCUCUGUGGAGGAGGAAAAGGGUUGGAAGUCAUCAGGUAUGAUCUUGCUGUUGAAAGUGUAAUUCGUGGGCCAGCAGCAUCAGCUUCGCCUGGGAGCUUGUCAGAAACGCAAGAAUCUCAGGCCCCAGCCAGACCUACCACAUUGGGCUCUGCAUUUUAACAAGAUCCCAGAAGCACCAGAGCUGCUGGAGUGGAAAUAGAUGGCCAGCUGUGGCCAGCCUGGCCCCACGAACCUCCAUCUUGCCUUCAAGAUGCUCUGCGCUCUGAGGAACACAAGCAGCAAGUAAACCAUGGGGUAGCUCACAAACAUCCCUCAUUUUACUAAGGCUCGGGGAGACUCACGUAGUCUGCUCACGGUCAUGUAUGAGGUCAAAGGCAAAGCCAAGUUUUGACCUCAGUUUUCUUGACUUGGACUCCAGUGCUCCUUCCAGUUUACGUCACUGCUGCAUGACAUGUUUGGAGCGGCAGUCAGCGCCAAAAGACUGUAAACUCUUCACAGGCUGGGGUCGGGUUUAACUUCUUCACUGCUGUAGAUUUCUUGACGUGCAGCAGGCCCUCAAGAAAUGCUUGUUGAAUAAAUGAAAUAUACAAUGUC